AUGAAACUUGAACUUGAUAUGUUUUUCAGUUUUUGUAUUUUAUUUUUAUAUUUUUUUACUUAGUUUAAUUAUUGACACAUUUUAAAUUCUUUUUAACUAUGGAUGAUAUUGGUUGCAUUGUUCAAGCUGAAAAACAGUGAAAGCAGAUUUUGGAUCAGUUAUGGAUGGUACACCAACAGAAUCAGCAAUAUUAGAAUAAGUCUUGUUUAUUUGCAUUGUGUGGUUCCUCACCAGUUUCCGAGGCUCAGGUUGUUGUUGUCCUGUUUUGGUAGCUGUUGUAGGGAGCUGCAGGUGUUGGAUGGUGUGUUGAUCUUCCCCAAUGUAGCUCUGCAGCUAUGGAGUUGUUGUUGUUAGAUGUUGUUGUUGUAGGUUGUUGAAUGUUGCAUCUUGCACUUAUGAAAGCUCAACUGCAACAGCUUUGGUGGUGUUGCAGGGAUGAAAGUCUAAGUUACUGAAGAAAAAGAAUUGAGUGGUGCUGCAGGUCUAAAGUGUGAAGUUCCUUGAAGAACUCCAGGAUGUUGUAUGUUGUUGAGUGUUGUUGUUUGUUUCUGUUGUUGUGUGUUGCUCUUUGCUGCAGCCUGCAUGUCUGCACUUUGGUGCAAUUGUGACUAUGCUUGGAUAAUGCAUUAGCAGUGAAGUUGGCAGCAGCAUUUCUAAGAAGGCAGCAACAUUGUUUAGUUUGUUAUUAAAAAUCUUCACAUUUUUAUUGUUGCUAAUGUGAAUAUGAUGUACUAACAUAUUUCGUGUGGACUUCAACUUCAAUAUGGUAUUAUCGAAUACCGUAUCGAAUCGAAUUUUGAUUUACCGA
Long non-coding RNA from Solanum dulcamara, 808 nucleotides. RefSeq lists it as uncharacterized. The record is from RefSeq and is a predicted model, not a curated record. The transcript has 3 exons. Lineage: Eukaryota; Viridiplantae; Streptophyta; Magnoliopsida; Solanales; Solanaceae.